AGAUACCCUGGUAGUCCAUGCCGUAAACGGUGGGCGCUAGGUGUGAGGGUCUUUUCACGACUUUCGUGCCGUAGCUAACGCAUUAAGCGCCCCGCCUGGGGAGUACGGCCGCAAGGCUAAAACUCAAAGGAAUUGACGGGGGCCCGCACAAGCGGCGGAGCAUGUGGAUUAAUUCGAUGCAACGCGAAGAACCUUACCUGGGCUUGACAUACACCGGAUCGGGCUAGAGAUAGUCUUUCCCUUUGUGGCUGGUGUACAGGUGGUGCAUGGUUGUCGUCAGCUCGUGUCGUGAGAUGUUGGGUUAAGUCCCGCAACGAGCGCAACCCUUGUCUUAUGUUGCCAGCAUUUGGUUGGGGACUCAUGAGAGACUGCCGGGGUCAACUCGGAGGAAGGUGGGGAUGACGUCAAAUCAUCAUGCCCCUUAUGUCCAGGGCUUCACACAUGCUACAAUGGUCGGUACAACGCGCAGCGACACUGUGAGGUGGAGCGAAUCGCUGAAAGCCGGCCUUAGUUCGGAUUGGGGUCUGCAACUCGACCCCAUGAAGUCGGAGUCGCUAGUAAUCGCAGAUCAGCAACGCUGCGGUGAAUACGUUCCCGGGCCUUGUACACACCGCCCGUCACGUCAUGAAAGUUGGUAACACCCGAAGCCGGUGGCCCAAACUUGUUAGGGAGCCGUCGAAGGUGGGAUCGGCGAUUGGGACGAAGUCGUAACAAGGU
This 717-nucleotide ribosomal RNA is filed under the name uncultured Corynebacterium sp. RNAcentral's name for it is "bacterial SSU rRNA". It matches the Rfam family "Bacterial small subunit ribosomal RNA", at positions 780 to 1497 of the family's 1533-position model. Lineage: Bacteria; Bacillati; Actinomycetota; Actinomycetes; Mycobacteriales; Corynebacteriaceae. The record is from RNAcentral.